ACGUCAACUUUUCUUCAGCCUCCGGCCUCCUCCAACCUCCUCCCCACCACGCGUUGCUCGCCUCCGCUCCCCCCUCGCCACCGGCAGCCUGCUCCCCUCGGGCGAGCUCCUCCCCCUGCGGGAGAACCCCUCCGCCGCUUGGCCUCACGCAGGCAGGCCGCCGCCGCACCCUCGGGCGGGCUUGCCGACGCCGCGCACGGCCAGGCGAGCCCAACCUCGUGCACGUCGACACGCGGCUCGGGCAGUCCGUCGUCGUCGUCGUCGGGGACGUCCACGGCCAGCUCCCGAGGAGCAGCUCUUCAUCUUCAACGGGGAUUACAUCGACCGCGGCGCAUGGGAGCUCCAGACCCUCCUCCUGCUCCUCGCUUGGAAGUCUUGGCGAGGGGAAGAGCAGAGGUGAGCAGCGCGGAGAGAAGGUUGGAGAAGGCCGAAGGUUGAAGAAGAAACUGACAUGUGGGCUCCACAUGUCGGCGAGUUGAAAGAAGAGAAGCAGCAGGUGUGUUUUGGGCCAUACGAAAAUACACAUGUCUGCGAGUGGGUCCAUGAGCCUCGAAUACGUAUAAAAUGACACGAUUCAAAGAAGUGAAGAAUUAUAAUGGCAAAUUUCAAAAUAGGUGAAUAGUAAUGGCAUAUCUCAGAAGUUGAAAAAUUGUAAUGGCACAUAUAAAAAAAACCUUUUCUUUUGAGGGUUGUAUUCUAAAUAAUUUUGAAAUUUAAAUUUGCAGAGCGUAUGACUUCGCAGCUUUAAAAAAAACAAACAGAGACCAAACUCGAGAUUCAAAAACAUUAGAUUUUUUUCAGCAGAACUAGUAGGGUGCACGUGCGGUAUCGCACGUGUCGGAAGAACAAUAUUGCGAAAAAUAACUACAUUAAAUUUUAGUUGCAAUAAAUAUUUUUGAGAAACUAUAUAUGGUGAAAACAAACAACGAGGUCUCAAUUGUGGUAAAAAUUAGGCAAAAUAUUCGAAACAUGAAAAGUAUAUAAUUAUAAAAAUAGGUAAAUAGUAUGUAUAAGAUAGUGUAUAAUGAAAUGUAUGAGUAUAUAAUUAUAAAAAUAUGUUCGAAAUACGAUAUUGCGACGAACACGGUUGCUUUUUCAAUAAUGCAUUGCGUUCUAUCGCUGCAAACGAACUGAGUAACACUCCAAAUAGCUCUCGCCGAGUAGGAGGCAAAGUUGCCUUCUUCCCUGGGGCUUUGACAGGCGAUCUCUGGCUUGCCGCAUGCUUUUCCACCGCUCGCUGGCCGUGCCUCCCCCAUCCGCACCGCUGCCCGCCUCAUAUAUGCAUCGCAGUAUGCUUCCUGCAUUGUCGAACGUUGUCACUGUCAAUGCAUGAUGUUCAAUUGUCAUCGUCAAUAGUCAUAAACCACCGGCACCAGGCCAUCAUGUGCAACGAUGCAAGUGUAAUCAAUCAUGGUCAUGUGCAUGUUUAUAUGCACACGACCAAACAAGGCCAUCGUCAUUUCUUCUGCAAGUUUGCCAGAUGCAAUGCCUCUGUACAUGCAUACAAGCUCAAUACCCAUUGAUGUCAUGCCCCUAUGCAGUAGACGUGACCUUUUCUUUUAGCAAAACAAUUAUGAUGUUCGAUGUAUUCCAUUAUAUUCAAAUUUUAGAAAUCUUGAGGCGCAAUGUCUCUGUACUUGCGUACAAGCUCA
Panicum virgatum (switchgrass) is the source of this 1652-nucleotide long non-coding RNA. RefSeq lists it as uncharacterized. The record is from RefSeq and is a predicted model, not a curated record. The transcript is spliced from 2 exons. Lineage: Eukaryota; Viridiplantae; Streptophyta; Magnoliopsida; Poales; Poaceae.